GGAGGGUGCAAACGUUGUUCGGAAUUACUGGGCGUAAAGCGCAUGUAGGCGGAUACGUAGGUCAGAUGUGAAAGCCCUUGGCUCAACCAAGGAAGUGCAUCUGAAACCACAUAUCUUGAGUAUGACAGAGGGAAGUGGAAUUCCCAGUGUAGAGGUGGAAUUCAUAGAUAUUGGGAAGAACACCGGUGGCGAAGGCGGCUUUCUGGGUCAUUACUGACGCUGAGAUGCGAAAGCGUGGGGGGAGCAAACAGGAUUAGAUACCCUGGUAGUCCACGCCGUAAACGAUGUGCACUAGGUGUUGGGAGUAAUUAAACUCACAGUGCCGAAGCUAACGCAUUAAGUGCACCGCCUGGGGAUUACGGUCGCAAGACUA
Molecule: ribosomal RNA, 373 nt
Filed under: uncultured organism
Description: partial 16S ribosomal RNA
Rfam family: Bacterial small subunit ribosomal RNA
Source: RNAcentral